AUAGCUCAGUUGGCUAGAGCGCCUCCUUGCCAAGGAGGAGGUCGAGGGUUCGAAUCCCUUU
RNAcentral lists this transfer RNA (61 nucleotides) under Candidatus Collierbacteria bacterium CG22_combo_CG10-13_8_21_14_all_43_12. RNAcentral's name for it is "tRNA-Gly". It matches the Rfam family "tRNA", at positions 7 to 64 of the family's 71-position model. From Rfam's summary of the family: Transfer RNA (tRNA) molecules are approximately 80 nucleotides in length. Their secondary structure includes four short double-helical elements and three loops (D, anti-codon, and T loops). Lineage: Bacteria; Candidatus Collieribacteriota. The record is from RNAcentral.